RNAcentral lists this long non-coding RNA (381 nucleotides) under Citrus x clementina. RNAcentral describes it as "Citrus clementina (C. clementina) long non-coding RNA (CCLE_LNC005782)". The record is from RNAcentral. Lineage: Eukaryota; Viridiplantae; Streptophyta; Magnoliopsida; Sapindales; Rutaceae.
AAGAUAAAAUUAAAAACUUAAAAAAUCCUCUUUAAAUUAUUGAUAUUUCCUUAAAGUUCCUACAAGAAAGAUAAAAUUAAAAACUUGAAAAUGAAAUAGUCAUAAUCUUUACCUAUGAUAUUAUAAAUCUUUGGAAUUGACAAGGAUAAAAUUGUCAAAAAAUAGGGUUUGUGCUUUUCGUGCCAACAAUUUUAGUUUUUUUUUAGUUAUGUCAGUCUACAAACUGUUGUUAAGGGCAAUAUUAUCUUUGCACAGUCAACUAACGGUCAAUGUUAAAAUUAACUGACGGUAGGGGGUUUUUUACAAAUAAACGGAUUCUCGCCAUUUACUUGCAACAAGCCCAAACCUCAGGGGAAGUUUCUAAAAAUUACCCUUUUUGAA